UCAAGAUUAGCCAUGCAUGUCUAAGUAUAAGCAAUUAUACCGUGAAACUGCGAAUGGCUCAUUAAAUCAGUUAUCGUUUAUUUGAUAGUACCUUACUACUUGGAUAACCCGUGGUAAUUCUAGAGCUAAUACAUGCUAAAAACCCCGACUUCGGGAGGGGUGUAUUUAUUAGAUAAAAAACCAAUGCCCUUCGGGGCUCUUUGGUGAUUCAUGAUAACUUAACGGAUCGCAUGGCCUUGCGCCGGCGACGGUUCAUUCAAAUUUCUGCCCUAUCAACUUUCGAUGGUAAGGUAUUGGCUUACCAUGGUUUCAACGGGUAACGGGGAAUUAGGGUUCGAUUCCGGAGAGGGAGCCUGAGAAACGGCUACCACAUCCAAGGAAGGCAGCAGGCGCGCAAAUUACCCAAUCCCGACUCGGGGAGGUAGUGACAAUAAAUACUGAUACAGGGCUCUUUUGGGUCUUGUAAUCGGAAUGAGUACAAUUUAAACCCCUUAACGAGGAACAAUUGGAGGGCAAGUCUGGUGCCAGCAGCCGCGGUAAUUCCAGCUCCAAUAGCGUAUAUUAAAGUUGUUGCAGUUAAAAAGCUCGUAGUUGAACCUUGGGCCUGGCUGGCCGGUCCGCCUCACCGCGUGUACUGGUCCGGCCGGGCCUUUCCUUCUGGAGAGCCGCAUGCCCUUCACUGGGUGUGUUGGGGAACCAGGACUUUUACUUUGAAAAAAUUAGAGUGUUCAAAGCAGGCCUUUGCUCGAAUACGUUAGCAUGGAAUAAUAGAAUAGGACGUGCGGUCCUAUUUUGUUGGUUUCUAGGACCGCCGUAAUGAUUAAUAGGGAUAGUCGGGGGCAUCAGUAUUCAAUUGUCAGAGGUGAAAUUCUUGGAUUUAUUGAAGACUAACUACUGCGAAAGCAUUUGCCAAGGAUGUUUUCAUUAAUCAGUGAACGAAAGUUAGGGGAUCGAAGACGAUCAGAUACCGUCGUAGUCUUAACCGUAAACUAUGCCGACUAGGGAUCGGGCGAUGUUUCUAUCUUGACUCGCUCGGCACCUUACGAGAAAUCAAAGUUUUUGGGNUCUGGGGGNGGAGUAUGGUCGGCAAGGCUGAACUAG
RNAcentral lists this ribosomal RNA (1101 nucleotides) under Hermatomyces tectonae. Its description in RNAcentral is "SSU rRNA". It matches the Rfam family "Eukaryotic small subunit ribosomal RNA", at positions 38 to 1146 of the family's 1831-position model. Lineage: Eukaryota; Fungi; Ascomycota; Dothideomycetes; Pleosporales; Hermatomycetaceae. The record is from RNAcentral.